Long non-coding RNA from Melanotaenia boesemani (Boeseman's rainbowfish), 231 nucleotides. RefSeq lists it as uncharacterized. NCBI's taxonomy places the organism in Eukaryota, Metazoa, Chordata, Actinopteri, Atheriniformes, Melanotaeniidae. The record is from RefSeq and is a predicted model, not a curated record. The transcript has 3 exons.
GAGAAAACAUCUCAGGAGAAGCAGAAACUACUGGAACUGGGUUAAAACUGUCCAACCAUCAUUAAAACUGGAAGGAUGGUGGGAACCAUCGUCUUCCAGGAAGAAAUGUGGUCAGAAACACAUCCUGAAUGAUGGUGAUCGGUGGUUCAACGUUUGGUGGAGCCAGAUGGAAGAAAAACAGCAGUAGAACUCAGGACCAUGUUUAAUAGUGAAAGCCUGAAUAUCCUGAAU